CAGCAGCCGCGGGAAAACGUAGGUGGCAAGCGUUGUCCGGAAUUAUUGGGCGUAAAGGGCUCGCAGGCGGUUUCUUAAGUCUGAUGUGAAAGCCCCCGGCUCAACCGGGGAGGGUCAUUGGAAACUGGGAAACUUGAGUGCAGAAGAGGAGAGUGGAUUUCCGCGUGUAGCGGUGAAAUGCGUAGAGAUGUGGAGGAACACCAGUGGCGAAGGCGACCCUCUGGUCUGUAACUGACGCUGAGGAGCGAAAGCGUGGGGAGCGAACAGGAUUAGAUACCCCCGUAGUCCCUGUCUCUUAUAC
This 301-nucleotide ribosomal RNA is filed under the name uncultured bacterium. Its description in RNAcentral is "partial 16S ribosomal RNA". It matches the Rfam family "Bacterial small subunit ribosomal RNA", at positions 509 to 807 of the family's 1533-position model. The record is from RNAcentral.